CAACCCUCAAGCCCUGCUUGGUGUUGGGGCCCUACGGUCGACGUAGGCCCUUAAAGGUAGUGGCGGACCCUCCCGGAGCCUCCUUUGCGUAGUAACUUAACGUCUCGCACUGGGAUCCGGAGGGACUCCUGCCGUAAAACCCCCCAAACUUUUACA
RNAcentral lists this unclassified non-coding RNA (156 nucleotides) under Colletotrichum higginsianum. RNAcentral's name for it is "sequence contains ITS2". The record is from RNAcentral. Lineage: Eukaryota; Fungi; Ascomycota; Sordariomycetes; Glomerellales; Glomerellaceae.